Molecule: ribosomal RNA, 1349 nt
Filed under: uncultured bacterium
Lineage: Bacteria
Description: bacterial SSU rRNA
Rfam family: Bacterial small subunit ribosomal RNA
Source: RNAcentral
AGUCGAGCGCCCAGGACUCUGUUUAUCAGUUUAUGAUAGAUAUAGUCCUGGGAGCGGCAGACGGGUGAGUAACACGUUGGUAUCCACCUUGAAAUCAGGGAUAACCUUUAGAAAUAAGGGCUAAUACCGGAUAGUCUCGAAAGAGUAAAGCAGCAAUGCGUUUCAAGAGGUGCCUGCGGCCUAUCAGCUAGUUGGUGAGGUAAUGGCUCACCAAGGCUAUGACGGGUAGCUGGUCUGAGAGGACGAUCAGCCACAAUGGGACUGAGACACGGCCCAUACUCCUACGGGAGGCAGCAGUAAGGAAUUUUUCACAAUGGGGGAAACCCUGAUGAAGCAACGCCGCGUGAAGGAUGAAGGCCUUUUGGUUGUAAACUUCUUUUCUGAGGGAAUAAAUAUGAAUGUACCUCAGGAAUAAGCAACGGCUAACUACGUGCCAGCAGCCGCGGUAAGACGUAGGUUGCAAGCGUUAUCCGGAAUUACUGGGCGUAAAGAGUUCGUAGGCUUUUUGUUAAGUAGAGUAUUAAAUACCAGAGCUCAACUCUGGGAAUGUACUCUAAACUGGCGAAAUCGAGUUGGACAGAGGUAAAUGGAAUUCUGUGUGUAGGGGUAAUAUCCGUAGAUAUACAGAGGAACACCAAAAGCGAAGGCAAUUUACUGGGUCCAUACUGACGCUCAAGAACGAAAGCGUGGGGAGCAAACAGGAUUAGAUACCCUGGUAGUCCACGCCCUAAACUAUGAUCACUCGAUGUUGGAGGAUUCGACCCCUUCAGUGUCUAAGCUAACGCGAUAAGUGAUCCGCCUGGGUAGUACGGUCGCAAGACUAAAACUCAAAGGAAUAGACGGGGACCCGCACAAGCGGUGGAGCAUCUGGUUUAAUUCGACAGUAAGCGAAAAAUCUCACCAAGGCUUGACAUCCCGAGAAGACCGCCGAAAGGUGGUUGUGCCGUAAGGAACUCGGAGACAGGUGCUGCAUGGUUGUCGUCAGCUCGUGCCUUGAGGUGUUCGGUUAAGUCCGUAAACGAGCGCAACCCAUGUCAUAAGUUAUAUAUGUCUUAUGAGACUGCCGAUUCUAAGUCGGAGGAAGGUAUGGAUGACGUCAAAUCAGCAUGGCCCUUAUGCCCUGGGCUACACAGGUGCUACAAUGGCAGAUAUAAUAGGAAGCCAAACGGUAACGUGGAGCAAAUCCUCAAAGUCUGUCUAAGUUCGGAUUGAGGGCUGAAAUUCGCCCUCAUGAAGCUGGAAUCGCUAGUAACCGCAAAUCAGCAUGUUGCGGUGAAUAUGUUCCCGGGUCUUGUACUCACCGCCCGUCAAGUCAUGAAAGAUUGGAGUGCCCGAAGUCCCUUUAGCUU